GUUAAGGAUUAAUUAUAAUCCUAAUAAUCCAUGCUUAACAACCGCCUUUGUGGCGUCCUUCGUAAGGGUCGCGUCUGUUCAACGCGUCCCCUCACCUUGUAUAUAUAGCCUUGUGUGUCAUCAAUAAAGAGAUCUAGUUCAUUCCAAUCGCUUCUCUCUCUCGUUUACUAUAACACGUUAUCAGCACUGCUCUCCGCCAAGAGCGAUUCCGACGAGAAGAAGGCAAAAUGUGAGAAACAGAAAAUGACACGCGACUCUGUUUCUUCGCCUUCUUCGCGCAAGGGCCGUCGCCGCUGCUUCGUUGCUCGCCAGAGCCCGCCCGCGCCUGGCUGCGGCAGCGCCACGCCCGUGACCUCUCAACCUCUCCCGGCCGACGCCCAACGGCGCCACGCCUGUGGGCGCCCAUCCGCGUCGACCGUCGGAUCCCCCGCGCAACAGCGCCCCAGAAGCAGCCCCAACCAUCAAGCAGUGUAUGAUUCCCCGCGAACAUGGCGCUUCAUCUGCAGCGCGCAUCCUAGGGCGGCCCGUCGGCUCGCAUCAGAUGUGCUAGCCCGGCCAUCGGCCGCGUCGAGCACACCGCGACGCNNNNNN
Molecule: long non-coding RNA, 591 nt
Filed under: Hordeum vulgare
Lineage: Eukaryota; Viridiplantae; Streptophyta; Magnoliopsida; Poales; Poaceae
Description: long non-coding RNA (HVUL_LNC003504)
Source: RNAcentral